RNAcentral lists this ribosomal RNA (400 nucleotides) under uncultured bacterium. RNAcentral's name for it is "bacterial SSU rRNA". It matches the Rfam family "Bacterial small subunit ribosomal RNA", at positions 355 to 767 of the family's 1533-position model. The record is from RNAcentral.
UGGGGAAUAUUGCGCAAUGGGCGAAAGCCUGACGCAGCAACGCCGCGUGAGGGAUGAAGUACGUCGAGAUGUAAACCUCUUUCAGCAGGGACGAAGCGAAAGUGACGGUACCUGCAGAAGAAGCGCCGGCUAACUACGUGCCAGCAGCCGCGGUAAUACGUAGGGCGCAAGCGUUGUCCGGAUUUAUUGGGCGUAAAGGGCUCGUAGGCGGUCUGUCACGUCGGAUGUGAAAACUCAGUGCUUAACACUGGGCCUGCAUUCGAUACGGGCAGACUAGAGUUCGGUAGGGGAGACUGGAACUCCUGGUGUAGCGGUGGAAUGCGCAGAUAUCAGGAAGAACACCGAUGGCGAAGGCAGGUCUCUGGGCCGAUACUGACGCUGAGGAGCGAAAGCGUGGGGA